This 1802-nucleotide ribosomal RNA is filed under the name Escherichia coli. RNAcentral describes it as "partial 23S ribosomal RNA". It matches the Rfam family "Bacterial large subunit ribosomal RNA", at positions 1161 to 2925 of the family's 2925-position model. The record is from RNAcentral. Lineage: Bacteria; Pseudomonadati; Pseudomonadota; Gammaproteobacteria; Enterobacterales; Enterobacteriaceae.
GCGCGGAAGAUGUAACGGGGCUAAACCAUGCACCGAAGCUGCGGCAGCGACACUGUGUGUUGUUGGGUAGGGGAGCGUUCUGUAAGCCUGUGAAGGUGUGCUGUGAGGCAUGCUGGAGGUAUCAGAAGUGCGAAUGCUGACAUAAGUAACGAUAAAGCGGGUGAAAAGCCCGCUCGCCGGAAGACCAAGGGUUCCUGUCCAACGUUAAUCGGGGCAGGGUGAGUCGACCCCUAAGGCGAGGCCGAAAGGCGUAGUCGAUGGGAAACAGGUUAAUAUUCCUGUACUUGGUGUUACUGCGAAGGGGGGACGGAGAAGGCUAUGUUGGCCGGGCGACGGUUGUCCCGGUUUAAGCGUGUAGGCUGGUUUUCCAGGCAAAUCCGGAAAAUCAAGGCUGAGGCGUGAUGACGAGGCACUACGGUGCUGAAGCAACAAAUGCCCUGCUUCCAGGAAAAGCCUCUAAGCAUCAGGUAACAUCAAAUCGUACCCCAAACCGACACAGGUGGUCAGGUAGAGAAUACCAAGGCGCUUGAGAGAACUCGGGUGAAGGAACUAGGCAAAAUGGUGCCGUAACUUCGGGAGAAGGCACGCUGAUAUGUAGGUGAAGUCCCUCGCGGAUGGAGCUGAAAUCAGUCGAAGAUACCAGCUGGCUGCAACUGUUUAUUAAAAACACAGCACUGUGCAAACACGAAAGUGGACGUAUACGGUGUGACGCCUGCCCGGUGCCGGAAGGUUAAUUGAUGGGGUCAGCGCAAGCGAAGCUCUUGAUCGAAGCCCCGGUAAACGGCGGCCGUAACUAUAACGGUCCUAAGGUAGCGAAAUUCCUUGUCGGGUAAGUUCCGACCUGCACGAAUGGCGUAAUGAUGGCCAGGCUGUCUCCACCCGAGACUCAGUGAAAUUGAACUCGCUGUGAAGAUGCAGUGUACCCGCGGCAAGACGGAAAGACCCCGUGAACCUUUACUAUAGCUUGACACUGAACAUUGAGCCUUGAUGUGUAGGAUAGGUGGGAGGCUUUGAAGUGUGGACGCCAGUCUGCAUGGAGCCGACCUUGAAAUACCACCCUUUAAUGUUUGAUGUUCUAACGUGGACCCGUGAUCCGGGUUGCGGACAGUGUCUGGUGGGUAGUUUGACUGGGGCGGUCUCCUCCUAAAGAGUAACGGAGGAGCACGAAGGUUGGCUAAUCCUGGUCGGACAUCAGGAGGUUAGUGCAAUGGCAUAAGCCAGCUUGACUGCGAGCGUGACGGCGCGAGCAGGUGCGAAAGCAGGUCAUAGUGAUCCGGUGGUUCUGAAUGGAAGGGCCAUCGCUCAACGGAUAAAAGGUACUCCGGGGAUAACAGGCUGAUACCGCCCAAGAGUUCAUAUCGACGGCGGUGUUUGGCACCUCGAUGUCGGCUCAUCACAUCCUGGGGCUGAAGUAGGUCCCAAGGGUAUGGCUGUUCGCCAUUUAAAGUGGUACGCGAGCUGGGUUUAGAACGUCGUGAGACAGUUCGGUCCCUAUCUGCCGUGGGCGCUGGAGAACUGAGGGGGGCUGCUCCUAGUACGAGAGGACCGGAGUGGACGCAUCACUGGUGUUCGGGUUGUCAUGCCAAUGGCACUGCCCGGUAGCUAAAUGCGGAAGAGAUAAGUGCUGAAAGCAUCUAAGCACGAAACUUGCCCCGAGAUGAGUUCUCCCUGACCCUUUAAGGGUCCUGAAGGAACGUUGAAGACGACGACGUUGAUAGGCCGGGUGUGUAAGCGCAGCGAUGCGUUGAGCUAACCGGUACUAAUGAACCGUGAGGCUUAACCUUACAACGCCGAAGGUGUUU